Molecule: ribosomal RNA, 354 nt
Filed under: uncultured bacterium
Lineage: Bacteria
Description: bacterial SSU rRNA
Rfam family: Bacterial small subunit ribosomal RNA
Source: RNAcentral
GAAAUCGGCGCUAAUACCUCAUAAUGCAGCGACCCGCAUGGGUAUGUUGUUAAAGGUUUACCGCCUUGGGAUAGGCUUGCGUCUGAUUAGCUAGUUGGUGUGGUAACGGCACACCAAGGCUACGAUCAGUAACUGGUCUGAGAGGAUGAUCAGUCACACUGGAACUGAGACACGGUCCAGACUCCUACGGGAGGCAGCAGUGAGGAAUAUUGGGCAAUGCACGAAAGUGUGACCCAGCAACGCCGCGUGGAGGAUGAAGGUAUUCUAUAUCGUAAACUCCUGUGAGAGCAGACGAAAGACAGAUUAUUAAUUUGGAUGACUGUAUGCUCAGAGGAAGCCCCGGCUAACUACGUG